Molecule: ribosomal RNA, 436 nt
Filed under: uncultured bacterium
Lineage: Bacteria
Description: partial 16S ribosomal RNA
Rfam family: Bacterial small subunit ribosomal RNA
Source: RNAcentral
GCGCACGCUGGCGGCAGGCUUAACACAUGCAAGUCGAGCGGGCACCUUUCGGGGUGUCAGCGGCGGACGGGUGAGUAACGCGUGGGAACGUGCCCUCUGGUUCGGAAUAACUCAGGGAAACUUGAGCUAAUACCGGAUACGCCCUUUUGGGGAAAGGCUUGCUGCCGGAGGAUCGGCCCGCGUCUGAUUAGCUAGUUGGUGAGGUAACGGCUCACCAAGGCGACGAUCAGUAGCUGGUCUGAGAGGAUGAUCAGCCACACUGGGACUGAGACACGGCCCAGACUCCUACGGGAGGCAGCAGUGGGGAAUAUUGGACAAUGGGCGCAAGCCUGAUCCAGCCAUGCCGCGUGAGUGAUGAAGGCCUUAGGGUUGUAAAGCUCUUUUAUCCGGGACGAUAAUGACGGUACCGGAGGAAUAAGCCCCGGCUAACUUCGUG